This 466-nucleotide ribosomal RNA is filed under the name uncultured bacterium. Its description in RNAcentral is "partial 16S ribosomal RNA". It matches the Rfam family "Bacterial small subunit ribosomal RNA", at positions 28 to 505 of the family's 1533-position model. The record is from RNAcentral.
GACGAACGCUGGCGGCGCGCCUAACACAUGCAAGUCGAACGGAGCUGAGAGAAGCUUGCUUUUCUUAGCUUAGUGGCGAACGGGUGAGUAACGCGUGAGUAACCUGCCCUGGAGUGGGGGACAACAGUUGGAAACGACUGCUAAUACCGCAUAAGCCCACGAUCCGGCAUCGGCUUGAGGGAAAAGGAUUUAUUCGCUUCAGGAUGGACUCGCGUCCAAUUAGCUAGUUGGUGAGGUAACGGCCCACCAAGGCGACGAUUGGUAGCCGGACUGAGAGGUUGAACGGCCACAUUGGGACUGAGACACGGCCCAGACUCCUACGGAAGGCAGCAGUGGGGGAUAUUGCACAAUGGGGGAAACCCUGAUGCAGCGACGCCGCGUGGAGGAAGAAGGUUUUCGGAUUGUAAACUCCUGUCGUUAGGGACGAUAAUGACGGUACCUAACAAGAAAGCACCGGCUAACUACG